Molecule: long non-coding RNA, 1274 nt
Filed under: Ovis aries (sheep)
Lineage: Eukaryota; Metazoa; Chordata; Mammalia; Artiodactyla; Bovidae
Description: lncRNA (ENSOARG00000025231.1)
Source: RNAcentral
AUGAAAGUGAAAAGUGAAAGUGAAGUCGCUCAGUCGUGUCCGACUCUUAGCGAUCCCGUGGACUGCAGCCCAGCAAGCUCUUCCGCCCAUGGGAUUUUCCAGGCAAGAGUACUGGAGUGGGGUGCCAUGCCUUCUCUGCAGCUUCACUCUAGCAUCCCGUCUUCCCAGGUCACCAUACUUUCUGAAGUAAAUUUCACAACAACAAGGAUGUUGCUUUGUCAACAGGCUGGUUCCAGAUUGGGAAAGGAGUAUGUCGAGGCUGCAUAUUGCCACCCUGCUUAUUUAACUUAUAUGCAGAGUAUAUCAUGUGAAAUGCUGGGCUGGAUGAAGCACAAGCUGGAAUCAAGAUUGUUGGGAGGAAUAUCAAUAACCUCAGAUGACGCCACACUUAUGGCAGAAAGCAAAGAAGAACUAAAGAGCCUCUUGAUGAAAGUGAAAGAGGAGAGUGAAAAAGUUGGCUUAAAAUUAAACAUUAAAAAAAACUAAGAUCAUAGCAUCCAGUCCCAUCACUUCAUGGCAAACAGAUGCAGAAACAAUGGAAACAGUAAGAGACUUUAUUUUUGGGGGUUCCAAAAUCAUUCCAGAUGGUGAUUGCAGCCAUGAAAUUAAAAGACACUUGCUCCUUGGAAGAAAAGUUAUGACCAACCUAGACAGCAUAUUAAAAAGCAGAGACAUUACUUUGCCAACAAAGGUCCGUCCAGUUAAAGCUAUGGUUUUUCCAGUAGUCAUGUAUGGAUGUGAGAGUUGAUCUUUAAAGAAAGCUGAGUGCUGAAGAAUUGAUGCUUCUGAAAGUGUUGGAGAAAACUCUUGACAGUCCCUUGGACAGCAAGGAAAUCCAACCAGUCCAUCCUAAAGGAAAUCAGUUCUGAAUAUUCAUUGGAAGGACUGAUGCUAAAGCUGAAGCUCCAAUACUUUGGCCACCUGAUGUGAAGAACUGACUCAUUGGAAAAGACCUUGAUGCUGUGAAAGACUGAAGGCAGGAGAAGGGGACGGCAGAGUAUGGGAUGGUUGGAUGGCAUCACUGACUUGAUGGACAUGAGUUUGAGCAAGCUCCAGGAAUUGGUAAUGGACAGGGAAUCCUGGCAUGUUGCAGUCCAUGGUUUCAUAGAGUCGGACACGACUGAGCUUCUGAACUGACUGACUGAUACCUUCAAAGCCUAAAAUACUGCCAGACAUAUAGUAAGUGCUCAAUAAAUAUUUGGUGAAAGAAUUAAUAAAUUAUAUUCCCAGUAUCAAAACAUAGUAGUAAAAUAGUUAAUACUACCUGUAUUCAU